UUUAAUUUAUGAUUAAUUAAUGAAAUGCAAUACUUUUUUUGAGAUGUAAGAUUAAUAUUAUUUUGACAAUUUUCAAUUUUCCCGAUUUAAGGGACUCAUCAUGCCCCUUCUAUGGCAUAUAUGUAAAAAUGUUGUAGAAAAAAAUGAAACAUUUAUUAUGUCCCAUUUAUGGGCAUCAUGUUUCUGGUCUGUGCGUCUAUUUGUCUCUUUCUCCGUCCAUCUGUCUGUCCUGCUUCAGGUUAAAAUUUUUGGUCAAGGUAUUUUUUGAUGAAGUUGAAGUCCUAUCAACUUGAAACGUAGUACACAUGUUCCUUAUGACAUGAUUUUUCUAAUUUGAAUGCCAAAUUAGAGUUUUUACCCCAAUUUCAAGGUCCUCUGAACAUAGAAAAUGAUAGUGUGAUUUGGGCGUCCUUGUACUAUGGACACAUUCUUGUUGUUAUUUAAUGUAUUACCAACACAUCUCAGCUUUCUAACGUUUGGUGAAAACAUAUUACAGAUUUUAAAAGUUUUGAAUUGAAAGUGUUAAAAUGAUUACAAUCUAAGGGGUCAUCCAUAAUUGUCAACCAUUUUCCAAAGUGUACAAAACGUACACUUGGGGGGAGGGGGUUAAAAAAUCAACAUUUUUACCGUACGCUUUUUUCUUAUUUCCGGAAUUUAUAUCGUUUCUGUAGGGAAAGUCGAUUUUUAAAUCGAGAAUUGGCUUGGGUGUGUUUCUCUUCUUAUUUCUUCUUUAUUAUUUUCACUUGAUGAUAUUGAUUUCGAUAUCAUAAUUCUACUCAAUCGGGAUUGAACGAUUAAAAGAUCAAAUCAUAUGAAAACUAAAUCUUUCAAAAAUAUGAACUAGUAAAAUUAUUUAAACAAAAAGUUUGCAAGCAUUUCUCAGUACCCCUGAUUGUCAAUUUCACCUGCUUUAUCAUUGAUCGAUAUCGUUUUACUCUGUUUAAUAAACAAAAUUGAUGGAAACACUAACAUGCUAAAUUCUUUGAAUGUUUUGAUUUUGACAAGACGCCAUUUUGUGAAAAGAUUUUAAACCAGUCCUUCGAUUAAUUUCCUUGUAAUGCAUUCCAAAAUAGUAAACCAGUAAACCGGAAGUAAACUUAUUUUUCUUAGUAUAAGCCUCCUUUAAUUAGGAGCACCUCCAUAUGAAGUUUACCUUAACUUAAAAAUAUCCAAUAUAUGUACACGUUACAGUAUAUAUACAUAAACGAUAAUAGUGCCAUGAAUGGCAUAUUUACAGGGAACUUUUAAAUAGAAAUACAGGCGGGAAAUUUAAAAAACUCAAAAUGUUUUUAAAACAUUACACUUUUAUUGAUUGCUGUCUUGAGCUCUGAUUCCAUCAACAACUGUCAGUCCAUACUUUACCAAUGCAAUAUAACCAUGCAUUUCCCUUUCUUUGAUUCGUAGCAUAAUUUAUGUGCCCUUUUGUUAAUCUUUUGCAUGCUCUAGGUGCCUUUUUUUAUUGGAGUUACCAUUUCCACUGUGUGAUAGGGGAAACACUAAUUUUUGUACUCUUUAUUCUGACAAAACACAAGCAUAGAUAGAUGUCAUCAAAUAAAACAGUCAGAUAUGUUUUAGUUUUUUUUCAAAGCAAAUUUCUAUAUUAAACUAAAAUAUAAUAGACAGGAUCUUCUUUUUAUUAAGAAUGACUGAUUCUUCUCUUGAAAUCUGAAAAUGGUUGAUGUACUUUUUGAGGGGAGGUGGGGGGUCUGAAAAAGUGUGCGUUUUGUACACUUUGGAAAAAGGUUGACAAUUAUGGAUGACCCCUAAAUGGUCAGGUGGUCAAUCAGUUUUUCUUGAGUUCCAGCAUUAUGAUGUAGGAAAACAAAUGAUGUGAAUAUAGUUAUCUUGUAUUUUUUUUCAUUUAAAAUUUACUUGGAAAAGUGUUUAUGAAACUUGCAUGUUAUUUCUGAAAUUUGUUUACAGUGACAAAAAUCCAUUUAACAUUUACAUGUAUUUUUUACCAGUAAAAUUUUAAGCAGUUUAAUUGUAUAGAUUACGUUUUAUUUAUUAUGACAUUAGAAUAUGUUUAAACCAUCAUCAUGUGACUCUUUGCCCUCCAGCUUCUACAGCUUCUAUUGGCUAAAGAAACCUUAAAUGAGCAAGUGUGUAUGUUUUGCAUAAUAUUAAUAUUUUUAUUUAUGGGAGUCGACAGAUCUUAAUGUUUUUAAAAUAAAUCUUAAUUGUAAUUUUGUUAUAAUGAAAAUAAGAUUUAAGAUUUUGGAAUAAUAUUCAAUAAUUUUCUCAAAGUAAUCAAUCUAGCAAGAAAAAUAUAUAUAUUUAUUUUUAUAGCAUGCUAAAUUUUCUUAGAGUAGUCAAUCCAGUGGUACAUUUUUCAGAUCAGAAAUGGUAGUUUUGUAUAUAGUAUAACAUUUUGUUUUUAUUUAUAGGGUGAAAAUUUAUUAAUAAUAUUCUGCACUUUCAAUAAAGCAUUACAGAAUAGGUGUUACAAAAAGUAUGAUUUUUUCAAAAUACUAAAGAUUUUCUUAUUCUACGCAUAGAUUAUAGGUUACAAAAAGUAUGAUUUUUUCAAAAUACUAAAGAUUUUCUUAUUCUAUGCAUAGAUUACCUUAUUUAGUACAACAUUUUGAAAUUUUAUGUCCUCAAUGCUCGUCAACUUCGUAUUUGUUUAACUCAAUAACUAUUUUGAUCUGAGUGAUCCAGUGUGUGUCACUGACUAGUCUUAUGUAGACACUGGCAUUUUUAAAUUGUUAUCCUGGUACUUUUGAUAACUAAUUACAAUACACUUGAUGAUGAUUUUGCAUCAGACAAGACAUUCAUAUCAAUCUGAUAUUACAGCAUAUUCCGUGUCUAUGCUUUACUCACAAGGAUCUUAGCAUUUUAUAUCUGUUCAAGACCUUUCAAGAUCCUCUGGUUUUGUUGUAAUGAUACACAUCUUCCACUAUUUUAUAUCUGUUCAAGACCUUUCAAGAUCCUCUGGUUUUGUUGUAAUGAUACACAUCUUCCACUAUUUUAUAUCUGUUCAAGACCUUUCAAGAUCCUCUGGUUUUGUUGUAAUGAUAUACAUCUUCCACUAUUUUCAGACAGGCAAAAGCAAGGAUACAGAAUGUUUAUUUUAAUCAGAUUGCAUUUGAAUUGUCUGUGAUAGUAACACUUACGUGAAAUAAUCUACAAGUAAUGUAUUUUUAUACAGAUCAUACAUGUGAUAAUUUCAUUUAGUUCAGGAUUUGAUGCUUUGAAUAAACAUAGACAACACA
RNAcentral lists this long non-coding RNA (3215 nucleotides) under Mytilus galloprovincialis (Mediterranean mussel). The record is from RNAcentral. Lineage: Eukaryota; Metazoa; Mollusca; Bivalvia; Mytilida; Mytilidae.